This 370-nucleotide ribosomal RNA is filed under the name uncultured organism. RNAcentral's name for it is "bacterial SSU rRNA". It matches the Rfam family "Bacterial small subunit ribosomal RNA", at positions 526 to 896 of the family's 1533-position model. The record is from RNAcentral.
CAGAGAGUGCGAACGUUGUCGGAAUUACUGGGCUUAAAGCGCACGUAGGCGGCGCCGCAAGUGCGGGGUGAAAUCCCACGGCUUACCCGUGGAACUGCCUUGCAGACUGUGGUGCUAGAGGAUGGUAGGGGAGAGCGGAACUCCUGGUGGAGCGGUGAAAUGCGUAGAUAUCAGGAGGAACACCGGUGGCGAAGGCGGCUCUCUGGUCCAUGACUGACGCUGAGGUGCGAAAGCUAGGGGAGCAAACGGGAUUAGAUACCCCGGUAGUCCUAGCUGUAAACGAUGGGCACUAGCUUGGGGUCUCCCUGUGUGAUCCCAGGUGAAGCAAAAGUGAUAAGUGCCCCGCCUGGGGAGUAUGGUCGCAAGGCUG